AAGUGUACUUAUCUUUGGAUGAAAGUCUGGUCGGUGACGACAAAAUUGUCUGGCCCUCGAGCUUUUGGACUUGUUAUCGUGACGGUGGUCGCUGUUGUCGUAGCGUCGUUCUUCGCGGCGAUUAUUAUUGCGACUGGUGGUCAGAGCAAGUAGGCCAAACAAUUUGGUCGAUGGCCCGAGCAGGUCGGUGUUGUCGAUCUGCCUCCCUUUGUAGCAGGGAAGCGGGUGACGCGUUGUCGGCGUGGUCGGAGACGUUGCUGGAGUAGUCGGAGUCGUAGCCAGCGUGGUUGAAGCCGCCGCUGACGUCGAUGAAGAAGUGGUUGGCGCAGAUCGGAUCUACACCUCCUCCGUGGUCAUGGCGGUGAAGUUGUUGAAGCUGACGGUGAACGUGAAGCCGCCCGCCAUGGCCGCGAAGUCGGGGAUGAUGACCAUCUCGUUCGUCGAAGAAGUUGUACGCACACCCCCUACCUAGCGCGCCACUGUCGACGAAAGCUGGUCGGCAGUCUACCUUGGGGUAUACCCACGG
Molecule: long non-coding RNA, 526 nt
Filed under: Sorghum bicolor (sorghum)
Lineage: Eukaryota; Viridiplantae; Streptophyta; Magnoliopsida; Poales; Poaceae
Description: long non-coding RNA (SBIC_LNC000726)
Source: RNAcentral